Molecule: ribosomal RNA, 40 nt
Filed under: Glomus heterosporum
Lineage: Eukaryota; Fungi; Glomeromycota; Glomeromycetes; Glomerales; Glomeraceae
Description: partial 5.8S ribosomal RNA
Source: RNAcentral
CAAACUUGGUCAUUUAGAGGAAGUAAAAGUCSUAACAAGG